GACGAACGCUGGCGGCGUGCCUAAUACAUGCAAGUCGAACGGAGUGGGGACGGGUGAGUAAAACGUGGGUAACCUCCCGUCAGAGGGGAUAACACUUGGAUACAGGUGCUAAACCGAUACUGAUGGAUGGACCCGCGGGGCAUUAGCUAGUUGGGGGGGUAACGGCUCACCAAGGCCACGAUGCAUAGCGGGCCUGAGAGGAUGACCAGCCACACUGGAACUGAGACACGGCCCAGACUCCUACGGGAGGCAGCAGUAGGGAAUCUUCGGCAAUGGGCGAAAGCCUGACCGAGCAACGCCGCGUGAGUGAAGAAGGUUUUCGGAUCGUAAAGCUCUGUUAUCAGAGAAGCGUUAUCUAAAGAGAAAGCCACGGCUAACUACGUGCCAGCAGCCGCGGUAAUAC
Molecule: ribosomal RNA, 403 nt
Filed under: uncultured bacterium
Lineage: Bacteria
Description: partial 16S ribosomal RNA
Rfam family: Bacterial small subunit ribosomal RNA
Source: RNAcentral